GAGAAUAACAAAGAAAUACACUUGACACCAGUAGAAGAGAAACACACACCAAACCGGCAUCUAUGAACUAAGUGUAGAGGUUAAAACUGCAUGUGCUCAAAGAACACUGUUUGGAGACAUACAGUAUCUAAUCUAAGCAUAACUUUACAUUAACAACCCAUAUGAACUCCUAAUGAACUCAGUACUGUAGAAUUUAAGUUUCAUAUUCAGAAUGAACAAUGACUUAGAGUGGAAUUAAGACUAUGAAAACAAAGAACACUAGGGGAAGGAAUGGGCACAAAAUGAAGCUGAAAGCUUCAUAAAAUUGCAAUAUGGCACUUAUUCUGAAAUGGGACAAUCAUCUUUAGAAAAGGUUGGGGCAGAAGGUAAUUACAGCUUUUAUUCUGAAUUCAAUUAAAGCAGAUACUAUAGGCAUCACCAUAGAACUUUUUUCAGGUAAUUCAACAAUUAAACUGCUAUUCCUUAGUUCUCGAUCACAUAGAACAAUUCAAUUACACACUUGUGUGUAAGUAUAUGAACAAGCAGUUGCAUGUCUAAGGUUGUCACAGUUCUAACUCAUGAUUCUCAAUAAUGACACAAUAGAUAAUAAUAACUGCACAUAGCAAACUGCAAUAAUCAGAUCAAUAGAAUUUUGAAUGCAAUAAUCAGAUCAUUAGAAUGUUGAACCUAAAACAUCAAAAUAGUUUAUUAUGAAUUUUAACUUCAUUUUCUCCAUUCACUUUGUUCAUAAUAAUUUACACUUUCUUCAUUACAAAACUAAACUACUACUUCUUUGUUUCUGAUCUUCUUGUUUAUCCGAGUUAUUACCUGCCAUGUUAUUGAGUACCUUAGCUUUUAUAACCAGUCCUUGAUUCUCUUAUGGAAUUUGCAGUAAAUGCACAAAGACACUAGAGAAUAUAGAAUUAUUUCCGAAUUUGCAGCCAGUUAAACCAACUAGCCAAACGCAAGUCCUUAUUAAUCUCUCAGAUUUUCUUUCAUACACCAUGG
Molecule: long non-coding RNA, 987 nt
Filed under: Manihot esculenta (cassava)
Lineage: Eukaryota; Viridiplantae; Streptophyta; Magnoliopsida; Malpighiales; Euphorbiaceae
Description: long non-coding RNA (MESC_LNC006370)
Source: RNAcentral